UAUUGUUUAUUUUUAACUGAAAAGAAAAACUAUGAAAAAUGAAUAUAUACCUUUUGCAUAAUGGUUAAAUAAUAGGAAUUUAAAUUUAUAUACCCCGAAAUUAGAAGAUCUAAUUUUACUAAAUUUAUUAGGAAAAUAAUGUUACAAAAUUAUAAAUAAGGAAAAUUAGGGGUGAAAGGCUUUUCAAUUCUAAUGAUAUCUGGAAUAAUUUUAAAUGUAUUUAGUACAGAAUAAAUUUGAUUAAAAAAAUGUUAAGGUUUUUUUAAUGAGAAUAAUAAUUUAAAAAAUUGUUUAAAAUCCUUAUUUUAGUAUUAUAAAAAAUUAUUUAUUUUUAUAUCUCUAAAAAAAUUAUAUUUAAAUUAUUUUAAAUUUAAUUAUGUUUAAAUUAGUAUUAAUUUUAUAUUAUAAUAAGGAACUCGGCUAAUUGUUCGUCUGUUUAUCAAAAACAUAGUCUUACGAUGUAAGGUUAAACCUGCCCAUUGAAUCUUUUUAACGGCCGCAGUACCUUGACUGUGCUAAGGUAGCAUAAUAAAUUGACCUUUAAUUGGGGCCUUGAAUGAAAGGAUUGAUAAUUUCUGUCUUUUAUAAAUAAUUAAAAUUUACUUAAAAGGUGAAAAUUCCUUUAAGUUAUAUAAAAGACGAGAAGACCCUAGGAGUUUACUAUUUUGUUGGGGCGACAAUGUAACAUAACUUACAUUAUUUAAGAUUGAACAAUAAUUUUAAUAAAAAACAAACUACCCUAGGGAUAACAGCAUAAUUUAAUAAGUUUGUGACCUCGAUGUUGGA
RNAcentral lists this ribosomal RNA (786 nucleotides) under Pravonitor villaris. RNAcentral's name for it is "partial large subunit ribosomal RNA". Lineage: Eukaryota; Metazoa; Mollusca; Gastropoda; Stylommatophora; Helicarionidae. The record is from RNAcentral.